GACAAAGUUCCUCCCUCCUUUUCUGAUAUUUGCUACUUGGAGCUGAGGGGGCCAUUGCAAGACCAUGACAGAGAAUCAAGAGAACUACAAAGAAGAUGGAAUUGGAUGGAACAUAAAGAACGAAUAUGGUAUGUGACAGAGCUCCCUCCUGGUGGUUUUUAAAGAUGCUGGAAAGAGUGGUGGAGACAUGGAGGCCUUAGAAGAAGCCCUUGCAGUGUUGUCUUGCGCUUUCCUGGGGACUGUUGGAAUCUGCUGCAGGGAUGAUGAUUUUCAGAGAACCUUCAGAGGGCAAAGAGGAAGUUUUCCCAUCGCUCCGACCCUGUGAAAAGAAUGCACUGGAGCAAAGAAACCGGAAGAUAGCUUAGAAGAAACUAUUGUAACAGUCCAGGCAGGACUUACUGAAGGUCGAAAUUGAGGCAACAACAAUGGGAAUAGAGAAGCGAUGGUUUCAAGCAAUGCUAAGGAGAUGGAAUCUACAAGACUCCAUUGAUUCCAUAAGGCCCCAGUGACUGAUUGACAGUAGAGUUGGGUACUCAAAGUUAGGUUUCUGACUUGAAGGGAACAUUGGAGAGGGGACAGGUGUUGAGUUGAAACGUUGCUGAAAUGCUUGUGGGAUUACCUGUGUUUCUGAAAUGUUGUUUAAAGUGUUUGUGGGAUUACUAAGAAACAUGAGUAGAUCAAGUUAAUCUUCAGAAACUUUUUAUCACAUGUUGGGCUAUGGGAUCAAUUUACUGGACUGAACUUCCUACAUUAAAGUUCCUUAUCAUUCCCUCUAUCAUGUAAUUUAGAGAGCAAGCAGAGAACAAAGACACAGGUCAACAAGCUUCUUUAAAAUGUCACUUGCUCUCCUUCUCUAUUUCCAUUUACCCUGAGAAUAAAGAAGAAUAAAGGGGUGGGAAAGGCCUAUCCUCAUUCCUCUUGCUCUUUCCACAGAGGACAAUGAGGCAGGACUGAGCAGUGUCUUCAUCCCUCGUGGAAUUCCAAGGUGGACACCAUCUGUGAAACGACUUCAUGUUGGCCUGAACUUGCUAGGAGCUUUUAGCCACUCACUUGGGUGUAAUCCAACACAUGACGUAAUAGUCGGCCGUCUGGAUUAAUCAGUCCCAGCUGUUGGACGCUCUGCUCUGUGUGGGGGUUCAAGCCUCUCCAUCUGUUCCUGGGGCCUCUCCACUUAUCCCUUCUCUGCUUGAGCCUCUAGCCAUGACAGAUGGCUGUUUCUCAGUAUUACAGAUAAUUUUUCUCUGA
Molecule: long non-coding RNA, 1245 nt
Organism: Chlorocebus sabaeus (green monkey)
Lineage: Eukaryota; Metazoa; Chordata; Mammalia; Primates; Cercopithecidae
Source: RefSeq, a predicted model, not a curated record